Molecule: long non-coding RNA, 979 nt
Filed under: Homo sapiens (human)
Lineage: Eukaryota; Metazoa; Chordata; Mammalia; Primates; Hominidae
Description: HSALNT0139195
Source: RNAcentral
UGCAUGAAUAAUUUGAGACUCAGUCCAGUUUAAUAAUUCAAUUCAACAGCAUUGCACACUGUGAAUCAGAUCUUGAAGAUACACAGAUGGGCAAAGAGAAGUUCCAGCUUAUGAGGGACAUGCUAUUCAGAAUGGCAGAUGAAACCAUGAACAAACAAUAACAACUUGAUUGAUUUCAGAGGAAGUGAUUGGGGUGUACCAUUUCAAAUACAGUGUGGAUGCAGUACAAUUCUUGGCUCUAGACUUGUUAAUUGGCUUUUCCUCAAGCUGAUAGGUUGUUUUUUUAACCACUAAUAGAGAAAAAUGCACAGAAAGGCCCCACAGACACCCUACCCACUGUGGCUCACAAACUUAUGCCCCUUGCUUUUCCACAGUGCCCAGCUUUCCAACACCUGUGCUCUGCUGGGAAGGAGGGGCAAAAAGAAGGAGGAGCUGGACAUGAAUGCUAGGAAACCCGAGCAGGUGCUGGCCAGCUGAAUGGAGACUGAAAGCUGAAUCGUUUCUUCUGCGGAGGCAAGAAUUGAGUUUGCUUCAGACCUGGACAGAACCACUGCCGCUAACAUAUUUCGGUGCCCUGUGACUCGGAAAUGUUCCACCGGCUGCAGUUUAGGCUAACCCUGCUUAUUCCUGUAAACCAACAAGGGACCUCUGCAGUUCAGAAGAAACAAGAGGGAUCGGCCAUCAAGCUCCAGAUGAUCCUCAGUGAGGGAUACUGUCCUCUCAAUAUUCAAGAGUCACCCUUCUACAGAAGAUCCCUAGACUUCCCAUCAGUGGGACAUGACAGAGGUGAGAAACCUGAGAUUCGUGGAAGUUAAAAGACUUGUGCAGCAUCCACAGCUACACUGGCCAUUCCUGUCGUCUUCAAUAUGAGUUCUUCCAUGCUUACGAAGUGCCUAAAAACAAUUUCUAACCUCAUUUUAAAGAAGAUGGAAAAGAAAAUUAAUUCUGCAAUUCACUAAUAAAUGUUUCUGUAAUGAUA